This is a long non-coding RNA of Alligator mississippiensis (American alligator), 5266 nucleotides long. RefSeq lists it as uncharacterized. Lineage: Eukaryota; Metazoa; Chordata; Crocodylia; Alligatoridae. The record is from RefSeq and is a predicted model, not a curated record. The transcript is spliced from 2 exons.
AUUUCAUUGGAAAAAGAGGGGCAAAACAUGGCCUGCGCGUACCUAAAUAUGGUGGCUUUGGAUCCUAUAGACUGCGUGUCUUUGAGACCUUGGAUCUCUGUUAAGAAGUCCACUUGAACUCAGUCAACAAAGCACAGCUUGUUCAAGAGGUCCUGAAAAGUGACUCUGAGCUGAAGAUAUUUCUAUAAGUAUGAGGAGGAGCUGGGAUUCUGCUUCCCAUGUAAAUUUAAGGAAUGGAUCAGCCUUUUUGAGACCAAAGCUAUGAGGUUGUCCAUUUCUGUGAAGCAGCUCAUUUGAGAUGUGAAAUAUAACAGGGUGAGCCACUUCUCUCUCUCUCUCUCUCUCUCUCUCUCUCUCUCUCUCUCUCUCUCUCUCUCUCUCUCUCUCUCUCUCUCUCUCUCUCUCUCUCUCUCUCUCUCUCUCAGAUCUUGUGUUUUCUUAUUUUUGUUUCUUUUAUUUAACUAGGGAUUUUUAACAAAUGCUUUGAAAAAUAUGAUCACUGCAUAUGAAAGAUACUGCAACCCCUUUGAAGUGCUCUUCACUUUUCUCCUUCGUUUGAAUAAUGCUCAGAGCAUAAUGGACAGUGUCACUUAGGGCUGUGCGAAAUUUCACUGCCAGUUUUAUUUCAAUGCUGUUUCAACUCAUUUCAAGGUUGAAACAGCAAAAUUGGAAUGGAACAGAUAUUGUCAAAACAGUCUUGAAACAAAAUGAGGCAAGUCAAAACGUUUCACCGUUUCGAUGAUGUUUCAACGGUUCACCCAUAGGCUAUAAUGGGGAAGGUGAUGUUCCCCCAAAUCCUACACCUAUCACCUUGAAACUUGGCAGGCUUUGUGGCCUCACCAGGAGCUACCAACCCUGCAAUUUUGACCCCGCUGUGGCUUAACACAUACAUGUGACAUGAGUUUUGCUUUCAAGUCUUUGGGGUGCAGUUUCUCCCAAACCCCUGCACCUAUCUCCUUGAAGCUUGGCAGGAUUUGUGGCCUCCACUGGGGCUAGCAAGGUUGCCAUUUUGACCUUGCUCUGGCUUAACACAUACACAUGAUGCAAGUUUUGCUUUCAUGAAUUUGGGGUGCAGUUUCUACGAACCCCCUGCACCUAUCUCCUUGAAACUUGGCAGGCUUCAUGCCCUCAGAAGGGCUACCAUUCCUGCAAGUUUCAUCCAAAUCAGGCCAGAAAUGACGGAAUUCUAGGCUGUUUUGACCUUCCCCAUUAGAUCCUACGGGCGAAACAUUGAAACGGGGUCGAAACGGCAAAACUGUUUCGACAGAACGGAACAGAACAGCUGUUUUGAAUUGAAACAAAAUUCAAAAUGAAAUGCUGUUCCUUCGAAUUGUUGAAACGCUGGUCGAAACGGAACGCUGCCAUUUCGCACAGCUCUAAGGUCACUGCCACUUUAAGAGACUUUUGCAGAACUGAAGCCAUCCAACACUGGUGUAAACAAUUACACACGUUCCUGGAAGUAGAGACUCAGAGGAAGGCUUUAAAAAACCCUGAACACGUAGCAGUGGAGAGGGGAAGGAUUUCCUCCCAGCCCCAUGCAGUAACCAGCGAAGUCCAGAAGUAUGGAAAUACCCAUAGUAUAACGUAGGCAUAGCUACGCCUAGAUCAUCCCCAACCAGUAACUGUCCAACCUCUUCUUGAACAGCUCCCAUGAUGGAGAGUCCACAGCAUCCCUAGACAGUCUAUCCCACUGCCUCACUGUUCUAAGAGUCAAGAAGUUUUUCCUGAUCUCCAAUCUAAACCUACUUUGCUGCAACUUUAAAUCAUUGUUUCAAAUCUCACUUUCCACAGAAAGACAGAAAUGGUGUUUUCUCUCUUUUUUUAUGACGGUCCUUCAAGUAUUUGAAGAUUACUGUCAUGUUCCCUCUUAAGCACCUUUCUGCAAGCUGAAGUUGCCUAUUUUCAUAGAUUUCAUAGACUUUCAUAGACAUUAGGGCUAGAAGGGACCUCAGAAGAUCAUUGAGUCCAGCCCCCUGCCCAAAGGGCAGGAAGUCAGCUGGGGUCAUAGGAUCCCAGCAAGAUAAGCAUCCAGUUUGCUCUUGAAGGUGUUCAAUGUAGGCGCUUGAACCACCUCCGGUGGCAGGCUGUUCCAGACCUUGGGGGCUCGGACAGUAAAGAAAUUCUUCCUUAUGUCCAGCCUGAAAUGGUCUUGUAGUAGUUUAUGACUGUUCGACCUAGUCGUCAUCUCUUGGGGCGCUAUGGUGAACAAACGUUCCCCCAGAUACUGGUGGUCACCCCUGAUAAACUUAUAGGUGGCCAUCAGAUCACCCCUGAGCCAUUUUUUCUUCAACCUCUCCUUAUAUGACUUUCUUUCCAAGCCCUUUAUCACUUUUGUUGCACAGCUCUGGACCUUCUCUACCUUUUUCACAUACUUUUUAAAAUAUGGAGGCCAAAAUGUCAUGCGAUACUAGAUAUGGCCUAACCAGCACCAAGUAGAGAAGGUUUUGCAUCUACUGCUUUUAUUGAUACAUCCCUAAACUGUAUUCAUCUUUUGUGCAGCUUCAUCACACUAGAGACUCAUACUGAGUCUAUGAUCCACCAAGACUCUCAGAUCCCCUUCCACAGUGCUGUCAUCCAGCCAGAUGUCAUCCAUUCUGUAUUUGGAUUUUCUACUAUUCUUUCUGAUGUGUAGCACCUUGCAUUUGUCAACAUUCAACUUCAUCCUGUUAACUCCAGCCCAGCUUUCCAGUCUAUGAAGAUCUUUCUGAAUUGCACUCCAAUUCUCUAAAGUGAUCACAGCCCUUCCCAGUUUUACAUCUGGCCAGUACAGACUCACCUCCUAGUGGUGCUGCGGCAGGCAGAUGGGCAGGAUGGCUACUCAGCACAAUGCACUACAUCCCGUCCCAUGAGGGCCUGUCUGCCACUGGCUGUGGUACCAGGUCUGUGCAGCUGCAGCACCAACAGGAAGCAGAGGCCAGGGGGAGGAUGGAUUUGGGGCAGAGUGGGGAGGAUGAGCAGGUGGGAAGCACCCUGUCCAAAUUCACAGAUGACACAAAAUUAUGUGGUGCAGUUAACACUCUGGAGAGGAGGAACCAGAUCCAGGCUGACCUAGACAGGAUGGGGAAGUGGGCAGAGAGCAGCAGGAUGCAAUUCAAUAAGGACAGGUGCUGCGUCUAGGGAGGAAGGACUGCUAUCAUACCUACAGGCUGGCAGGUGACCUUCUCAGUGACCCCUGAGGCAGAAAAAGAUCUUGGAGUCACUGUUGGCUCCAGGAUGAACAUGAGUCGCCAAUGUGAUGAAGCAGUUGGCAGAGCCAAUCGCACCUUGUUGUGCAUCUGUAGGUGCUUCACAAACAGGUUCAGGGAAGUGAUUCUCCCCCUCUAUGUGGCACUGGUCAGACUGCAGCUGGAGUACUGUGUCCAGUUCGGGACACUGCAGUUCAAGUGGGAUGUGGACAACCUGGAGCGGAUCCAAAGAAGAGCCAUUCCCCUGAUUAGAGGCCUGCAGGGUAGGCCCUAUGAGGAAAGGCUAAGGGACCUUAACCUUUUCAGCCUCUCCAAGAGAAGGCUGAGAGGGGACCUUGUGGCAGCAUACAAAUUCAUGAGAGAGCAACAUGAAGUAGGGGAGGACCUCUUCUCCAAGGCACCCCUUGGAACGACAAGGAACAAUGGCCAUAAGCUACUAGAGAGAAGAUUUAGGUUGGACAUUAGGAAAAAGUUCUUCAUGGUCAGGGCUGCCAGAAUCUGGAAUGGACUCCCAAGGGAGGUGGUGCUCGCCCCAUCCAUGGGGGUCAUCAAAAAGAGACUGGACAGGUACCUGGCUGGGAUCACAUGACCCCAGGGAUGGUGACUCUUUCUUUCCUGCAGGGGCAGGGUGUCGGACUAGAUGACCCACUGAGGUCCCUUCCAACUCUAUGAAUCUAUCUAUGAGUUGGUACAUCUCAGCUCUGUGUUCUCGGGCAACCCUGGCACAGGAUGCAGUCUGUCUGACUCACGAAGAAUUCCCCCUCCCUCCCCUCCUCUACAUAAAUAAAACUGAUUAAGAUGCAGUGGGAGACGCACCUAAAACCCUCCAGAUAAGGGUGACGAGUGAAACAACUGCCGUAGGUCUCAUUUGCAUCUGAGAUGGAACCAGAUGACCAUUCAUUUACAUGAGAGAUGGAGAACAGAAAGCCUGAAGCAAAGACUGCAGUGAAUUCUGGGAUCAGAGAAGCAGGGGAGCACUGCAUGAUGGGGAAUCUGUGCUCCAAAUGCUAAUCAACCCAUGUUUACACACACCCAGCUCAGCAUUUAUCAGACCUGUUCUAAUCUGGAUUUACAAAAAACUUUCCCCCCACAGACACACACACACCUCUAAGUUUAAUAGGCAUCUCGGGCUGUACGUUCCCCGGUCCCACUAUGGGAGGCCUAUUUAAACUUGAUUGACUAAAACUCGGUUGCCAGGUUAGGGAAUGCUGAGGCAAGAGACUGAGUCAGAGGGUAUGGGCAACAUUUGAACAAUGGUAAAAGGUUCAUCACAGCGUCCAGCCUGUUGGAGACCUGACCACAAGUGUUGUCAUUCUUUUCCCGAGACGGCUGAUGGAAGUCCUCUCUACAAAGGGUUAUGAACACUCCAAUAAUUGCCUUAAGUCUGUUAAAAGACUAUAGUAAGAUCUGGAAAAGUCAUGCUAAGAUGAGGCUUGUUCACAACAAGUAAAAAUCCAAAAUCCUGAUGCUGCAAGCUAUUUAUUGUUUCUGAAGAAAUCAUGAGAUAUCCCAUCAGUAUAUCUGCCAUCCAUAGGAAUUUCAAGCUGGCUCCCAAGUGUCUGGGUACUCCCUAACCUUAUGUGUUUCCUGAUUAUCAAUCAGUUUCUUUAGAUGUUCCAAACUAGAUAACCCCUUGUCAAGAAAAAAGACAAUAAUUUACACUAUUGAGAGUGCUUCGAAGCAGCUGAACUGAGGGUAUAAAAAUCUGUAAAAAGCAGCAGUAUGGGUGCUUCAAGAAGAAAACUCCUGUGCUGACACCAUCCCCUGUUGUUCUUGGGACGCUGGAAGAACAGAUCGUCUCCCUUCAAGGGCAGUGCUAGGAAUUUUACCUGUCAGCUUUGGGACUCCAGUACCUUGGACUGGUGAGAUCCCAGCUCUCUCUCUCUCUCUUUUCUCUCUAGGCAUAACUAAUACAGUUCAGGUUCAGAAAUUUAAGCUUGAGCUAAGUUUUCCCAAGUACUUAGUGAAACUAGGGUGGUAUUGUAAUUGUUUGUGUUUGUUUUUUUCUUUUUGCAUGGCUGUUACUACUAGUACCAUUGUAUAUUUCAUAUGCUUAACAAUAAAUAACUGUUAUAGUCAAA